Molecule: ribosomal RNA, 468 nt
Filed under: uncultured bacterium
Lineage: Bacteria
Description: bacterial SSU rRNA
Rfam family: Bacterial small subunit ribosomal RNA
Source: RNAcentral
ACUCCUACGGGAGGCAGCAGUGGGGAAUAUUGGACAAUGGGCGAAAGACCUGAUCCAGCCAUGCCGCGUGUGUGAAGAAGGUCUUCGGAUUGUAAAGCACUUUAAGUUGGGUAGGAAGGGUUGUAGAUUAAUACUCUGCAAUUUUGUACGUUACCGACCAGAAUAAGCACCGGCUAACUCUGUGCCAGCAGCCGCGGUAAUACAGAGGGUGCAAGCGUUAAUCGGAAUUACUGGGCGUAAAGCGCGCGUAGGUGGUUCGUUAAGUUGGUAUGUGAAAUCCCCGGGGCUCAACCUGGGAACUGCAUUCAAAACUGUCGAGCUAGAGUAUGGUAGAGGGUGGUGGAAUUUCCUGUGUAGCGGUGAAAUGCGUAGAUAUAGGAAGGAACACCAGUGGCGAAGGCGACCACCUGGACUGAUACUGACACUGAGGUGCGAAAGCGUGGGGAGCGAAACAGGAUUAGAUACCCU